This 233-nucleotide ribosomal RNA is filed under the name uncultured bacterium. RNAcentral's name for it is "partial 16S ribosomal RNA". It matches the Rfam family "Bacterial small subunit ribosomal RNA", at positions 100 to 334 of the family's 1533-position model. The record is from RNAcentral.
CGGGACGGGUGAGUAAUGUCUGGGAAACUGCCUGAUGGAGGGGGGUAACUACUGGAAACGGUAGCUAAUACCGCAUAACGUCGCAAGACCAAAGAGGGGGACCUUAGGGCCUCUUGCCAUCGGAUGUGCCCAGAUGGGAUUAGCUAGUAGGUGGGGUAACGGCUCACCUAGGCGACGAUCCCUAGCUGGUCUGAGAGGAUGACCAGCCACACUGGAACUGAGACACAGUCCAG